This 320-nucleotide ribosomal RNA is filed under the name Pholcus bourgini. Its description in RNAcentral is "partial 12S ribosomal RNA". Lineage: Eukaryota; Metazoa; Arthropoda; Arachnida; Araneae; Pholcidae. The record is from RNAcentral.
AAUUAACUCACUAGGUAGUAAUAUAAACCAACAUGUAUUGGCGGUCUUUAUAACUUAGAGAAACUCGCUUCAUAAUCGUAAACACCCGCUAAUUUUAACUUUUAACUAAUUGCCUAUAUACCGCCGUUUAGAGUAUAAUACAAAAUAGUAUUCAGAAUCUUCCUCUCAAGAAAAAAUCAGGUCAAGGUGUAGCUAAUUUUAAAGUAGAAGUAAGUUACACUAAAAACAAUUUAAGAAUUAAAUAUAAAAACAUAUAUGAAAGAGAAUUUAUCAGUACGAAUUAGUCAAAAACUAAGCCCGAAUUAUAUACUUAAAGAUGC